RNAcentral lists this ribosomal RNA (755 nucleotides) under uncultured Acinetobacter sp. RNAcentral's name for it is "bacterial SSU rRNA". It matches the Rfam family "Bacterial small subunit ribosomal RNA", at positions 45 to 795 of the family's 1533-position model. The record is from RNAcentral. Lineage: Bacteria; Pseudomonadati; Pseudomonadota; Gammaproteobacteria; Moraxellales; Moraxellaceae.
GGCUUACACAUGCAAGUCGAGCGGAGANGAGGUGCUUGCACUUUAUCUUAGCGGCGGACGGGUGAGUAAUGCUUAGGAAUCUGCCUAUUAGUGGGGGACAACAUUCCGAAAGGAAUGCUAAUACCGCAUACGUCCUACGGGAGAAAGCAGGGGAUCUUCGGACCUUGCGCUAAUAGAUGAGCCUAAGUCGGAUUAGCUAGUUGGUGGGGUAAAGGCCUACCAAGGCGACGAUCUGUAGCGGGUCUGAGAGGAUGAUCCGCCACACUGGGACUGAGACACGGCCCAGACUCCUACGGGAGGCAGCAGUGGGGAAUAUUGGACAAUGGGGGGAACCCUGAUCCAGCCAUGCCGCGUGUGUGAAGAAGGCCUUAUGGUUGUAAAGCACUUUAAGCGAGGAGGAGGCUACUGAGACUAAUACUCUUGGAUAGUGGACGUUACUCGCAGAAUAAGCACCGGCUAACUCUGUGCCAGCAGCCGCGGUAAUACAGAGGGUGCGAGCGUUAAUCGGAUUUACUGGGCGUAAAGCGUGCGUAGGCGGCUUUUUAAGUCGGAUGUGAAAUCCCCGAGCUUAACUUGGGAAUUGCAUUCGAUACUGGGAAGCUAGAGUAUGGGAGAGGAUGGUAGAAUUCCAGGUGUAGCGGUGAAAUGCGUAGAGAUCUGGAGGAAUACCGAUGGCGAAGGCAGCCAUCUGGCCUAAUACUGACGCUGAGGUACGAAAGCAUGGGGAGCAAACAGGAUUAGAUAUCCUGGUAGUC